This 444-nucleotide long non-coding RNA is filed under the name Musa acuminata (dwarf banana). Its description in RNAcentral is "long non-coding RNA (MACU_LNC005502)". Lineage: Eukaryota; Viridiplantae; Streptophyta; Magnoliopsida; Zingiberales; Musaceae. The record is from RNAcentral.
CUCCGGCCACCACCUCCCGUCCGUCUCCACCGCCUCUGCCGCGGCGACUCCUACGCCCACCGCGAAGGUCGGGUUCAAGUGCUCCGUCUGCGGCAAGGCCUUCGGUUCCUACCAAGCGCUAGGAGGGCACAAGGCCAGCCACCGCAAGCUCAACGCCAGCAGCGGCGGGGAGGAGCCCUCCGCCGCCGCGUCCCCGGCCGCUUCCGCUUCCGGCUCCUCCACCGCCGCAGCAGGCGCCACCACCACCGGCGGCAAAGUGCACCAGUGCUCCGUGUGCUUCAAGACGUUCCCGACGGGGCAGGCGCUGGGCGGGCACAAGAGGAGACACUACGAUGGGAGCCUCGGCAGCGGGUCGGCCACCGCGUCGACGGCGUCAGAGGGCGCCAGCUCGAGCCGCAAGGGGUUCGAUCUGAACCUACCGGCGACGGCGGAGUUCGCGUUGGA